GUGAUUUUUCUUUGCAUGGUAGCGUCCUCUAUAGACGAUCUCCUAGAUUCUACUGUGCUCAAGAGAUGCCGCUUUAAAGAAAAAUGUAAUUACCAUUUAAAACGUUCAAAAACUACAGAUUAAAUAAUUAAAAAUCAGUUAAAUGAGGUAUUUGAAUGCCAACUCCCAAAGGCAAAAGUGUCAAUACAAAAAUUACAAACUCGUGGAUUUUUGUGAUUUAGGUCAAAAUGUCUAAACGAUGUGUGUUUGGUUGAUCACUUAGUGAUGCCAGCCUUCAUUAAUUUCCAAACCCUAAAAGAUUCCGUCAGCAAUUGAAUUAUUGGUUUAAACUCACUGGUGAUUUUCGAUUGACUAAUGAAGAGAUUUUCAAAAAGAAAAAAGUUUGUGAUGUUCAUUUCACAGACAGAGAUCAUAAUCGUAAUAACCAAUUAAAUGCUUUAGCCAUUCCAUUUCUUCAUUUGAAUGGCUCUCGUGGAAAACUUCCUUACCCUAGUGAAAUGGUCAGUCAGGAAAUGGAACCAAUUGGACGUAGGCAAUUAAAAUAAUUUGGUUUUUAAGGGACUUCAAAAAAAGAGAUUUAUAAUUUGCCUGUAUUUCUUUUUGUGUGUAUGUUACUGGAUUUCUCUAUCAAUCAGCAAUAACAAUUAAUUUCAUAGUUUCUGUAUUGACAUUGGUUCUUCUUUCUUAACUUCAGGUUGUUCUGAACAUAAUAUUCUUAAUCCUCUUACGGUUUUGUAUAAGAAGUGGAGCGCUGCAAGGAUUAUAUUGCACAAACUCACACAUAACACUUUAUUUUUAUUAAAAUAAUUAAUCGAGACAUCUUUUACUUUUAUUUUUUAUAUACAUGUGUGUUUACUAUGACAUCAUGGAACAUUACGAUCUAGCCUAACUUAAGACUAAUAAGUAAUUUAAGUCUAACCUAAUUUACUAAAAAGGAUUGUUAUCAAAAGUAAGUGUCCAAUGACGCUACUUAUAGUCUCUAUUAAAGGGAUGUCAUCAUCAGCUGUGUGUGUGUCAUCAUCAAAAAGCACUCCAGCAUUUAAAGUGUCAAAUUUAAAGCUAAAAAAAGAAGGAAAAAAAAUAUUUGUGGUUGAAUUGGUUGUACCAUCAAUAAAAAAAAUCAUUAAAACGAUAUGCAAGAGCUAUGGAAUUUUAUUUUGCCAAAAAUAUUCGUUUUGAUUUCAUGCUUACGAGAACUUUCAACCAGGAUCCAGUCAAAAAUUGCUUCGGGAACAUCAGGACCUUUGAGGCGAGGAAUAUUUCUCCUAAUAGAGUCAAUUUUGAAGGAGCAUUCAAAACCUUGUUGCUUAGUAAUUAUAACACGCCCCAAUUAGUGCAAUCUAAUUGUGAAGAAGAUAAAAACGAUUGCCUGCAAACCUUAGACUGUUUUUAAAGAAAAUCAACUGAUAGAAGCUGAGGUUCCCGAAGAAAGUAAAAUUCCAUUUAGGGAGGAAUUCAUACACAACGCCAGUGAAGGUCAAUGUGAUUUAGGACAGGGGGCAUACGUUUGCGGCUGGGUUUAUAAUUUAUCAUUAAAAGUUGCAAAACAUGCAAUAAAGAUGUGUUAGGGCAUCAAAAUGAAACAAACAUACGAUCAAAAUAAUAUUUUAAAAAUAAGAAGAGGUUAAAUUAUCCAUCGCUCGAGUUGUUGUAGAGACCAAUGUUUUAAGGAAAUACAAAGUUUAAAAAUUUAAAAAAAAUGCUCCAAAGUGUGCUGGAAAAGGAACGUUAAAAAAGUACACUGACAUAUUUGUGUCAUAUCCCUUCAAAGGUGUAACACAUAAAGAGCUCUCAAAUUUUUUUUUGGAGAAAUGACACUGAAUGUCUUAAUAAACAGUUGGUGCAAGUCAAUCAACCAAAAAAAUGUGUAAAAUUGACCUACUCUGGUGAUAAUGAAAUGAAAUCAUUCGCCCAAGAAUAUUUCAACAAACACAAAGAUUUUAAGAAAUAAAUAUUUAGUUUUUGUUAA
Long non-coding RNA from Pieris brassicae (large cabbage white), 1969 nucleotides. RefSeq lists it as uncharacterized. The transcript has 3 exons. NCBI's taxonomy places the organism in Eukaryota, Metazoa, Arthropoda, Insecta, Lepidoptera, Pieridae. The record is from RefSeq and is a predicted model, not a curated record.